RNAcentral lists this long non-coding RNA (2174 nucleotides) under Marmota monax (woodchuck). The record is from RNAcentral. Lineage: Eukaryota; Metazoa; Chordata; Mammalia; Rodentia; Sciuridae.
AUGAGCUGGGAUAGCUGCUUAUAUAGGAUAGAGGACACAUGAAGGGGCAUUGAGCAGAUUUCAAGGGUCAAGGGUACCCCCUGGUCCAUGCAGGUGCCCCUGGACUCAGCAGUCAGUUGUGUGGGACUUACUGGGUUGUGCUCACCCCCCACAGCAGCUCUCCUUCCCUAGUGGAGUUCAGGGUACAGCAGGUCCCACGGGGUUCUAAGCAGGGAGCCACCUGCCCAGGCCUAGGGACCAGCCCCCUCCCUCCCCUCAGCUCCUUCACCCUGGAGACCCAGGUCCUCCGACCCCCUGAUGGCCCAUCCCUGGGUCUCUGUCUCACUGUCCCUAAGGUCAGGUCUCUCUGUAGGAGUGCUUUUCAAACAGGUUCUGGACGGGUGUUUUUAUUUAGAUAGUUAUGCAUUUUUCCAUAUUUAUUAGAAAAAAACAUAACGUGUUGAACCUGUGAUUUCACAGGCAUAGUGCUUAGGUCAAGGCUGAGUUCUAAAAAGCAAGUCGAUCUAAAGUCAGUUUAAGGAAGGAGCUUGGAAUGCGUUGGCAGUGGUGUCUGCAGAUUUAGCAGAAAUGCAGCAGGGUUGGCAAAUGCCAUGCUUUGGCUGUUGGGGGCCUUGGCCUCUGCUGACGCCUGCCCAGCUGUAGGGGAUGUCCUUGCUCCCAAACCCUGACUUCAAAGACCUUGGCUUCCAGAGGGCUGUGUGGACAGGCUCUGGGGGAAUUCUAGGCUGCCCCGGGGACCCUUGGGGCCUGGGUGCUAUAGCAGAGUGGAGAGGAGGUGGGUGAUGGGCUUCACUGCCUGGAGGCCCUUCUCAGAGCUGAGGGGUGGGGGGGGGGAAGUGUCCUCAGGCCCACUGUGCACCUGAGGAGACCCAGGCCCAGAGGGGAAGUGGCCCUGGGGUCCUGCAGGGCCUGGCAGCAAAGAAGCUGGGGUACCUGUGAAAGCCAGUGGAGGGCCAGGACCUCACACCUGGACAGUGUAAAAGCAUCCCGGAUCUUAAAGGUGGGCGAUUUGGGGCGUCCAGCCUGGCGUAGGGCUGGUGUGCCCGUCACCUUCACAGGGACAAGUUCCGACACUGUCCGUCAGCCUCUGUUUUUCUGGGCCCAGCCUCUGCCAUCUUGUUUAAUCUGCAGGGCGGCCCUGUGGGGGGUGGGGGUGCUGCUCCAAGCGGACUUUCCAGUGUCACUUGGUCCUCAGUGGCCGGCAGGGAUUACGUCCCUUCACCCUGAACUGUGUGACCCUGCAAUAAGCAGGCACGUGAGGAGGACAUUAUAGGCAAAGGGACCAGCGUGAGCAAAGUCCAGGCCCAGCCGAGCAGGGCACGCGAGAAGGUGGGAACAGCUGGACCUGGAGGCAGAGAAGCUGGGCCCCUGCGGCCGGCUCCGGCAAAGUGCCGAAUGCCGAUUCCAGGCAUUUGCCCUUGUUCCCGUGGGUGUCAGGGACCAGGAAGCCGAGAGGCACCAGCCUGAACGCUGAGAUGAAUGUGGGUUGGGCAAACGGUCCCUCCUCCCCCUCCAACUCUGUGACCUGGGCUGUGUCCAUCACAAAAGCACAAACUUACCCUAAUCCACUUGGGCCUGGCUGUGGGGAGGAUGGGGUUCCCGCACCAACUCCCCUAAAGCUGUUUGUUUGCCAGGCUCUGUGGAGUGGAGACUGGUGGGCACCUUGGCAUCUGCAGAGAGGGCCUCGGGACAAGACGGGCCGCGGCCUGCCCCUGGCCACGCUCCCUCCUUUCCCUGCAAUGUCCUCUGCCCCAGGCAGCCUGUUGAAGGAGGACAAAGCGCACAGUAUCAGCCUGUCUGCCUGUCCCUGUCCCUCCCUGGGAGCCUGCCGCUCCAGCCCCCUUUGCUGCGCUGUGUAAGGGCUUGGGGUCUUAGAAGCCACUGUUUAGCCCAUACACACAUAAAUAUUUCUGUCUUUGUGCAAUAAUCAAUGUUUCUGGCAGAGCCAGAGCCAAGCUGGGGCCUGCGGAGGAGGCAGAGGUCACUCCUCCAGGAAGCCCUCGGCUGGCUCGGCCGCUGUGGCUGCAGCACACCCCCACCCCAUCACUGUACAGUUUCUAUGGUGUGAAUGAACUUCCCUCCUAGUUGCUGACGGCGCUGGUCCCUGCGGGCCCAGAUGGCCCAGGCGUAGAGAGACCAAGCGGCCACCCCACCAGUGUUGUUUUGAAUAAAAC